UGGGGAAUAUUGGACAAUGGGGGCAACCCUGAUCCAGCAAUGCCGCGUGUGUGAAGAAGGCCUGCGGGUUGUAAAGCACUUUUGGCAGGGAUGAAAAGCACUGGAUUAAUAACCCAGUGUGUUGACCUAACCUGCAGAAGAAGCACCGGCUAACUCUGUGCCAGCAGCCGCGGUAAUACAGGGGGUGCGAGCGUUAAUCGGAAUUACUGGGCGUAAAGGGCGCGUAGGCGGUCGAGUAAGUCGGAUGUGAAAUCCCCGGGCUUAACCUGGGAAUUGCAUUUGAGACUGCACGGCUAGAGUGUGUCAGAGGGGGGUAGAAUUCCACGUGUAGCAGUGAAAUGCGUAGAUAUGUGGAGGAAUACCGAUGGCGAAGGCAGCCCCCUGGGAUAACACUGACGCUCAUGCACGAAAGCGUGGGGAGCAAACAGGAUUAGAUACCCCCGUAGUCCCUGAGCGGGCUGGCAAGGCGCAU
RNAcentral lists this ribosomal RNA (472 nucleotides) under uncultured bacterium. Its description in RNAcentral is "bacterial SSU rRNA". It matches the Rfam family "Bacterial small subunit ribosomal RNA", at positions 355 to 825 of the family's 1533-position model. The record is from RNAcentral.